This 165-nucleotide small RNA is filed under the name Shewanella denitrificans OS217. Its description in RNAcentral is "yybP-ykoY element as predicted by Rfam". The stretch from base 11 to 144 matches the Rfam family "Manganese Mn2+ riboswitch aptamer (yybP-ykoY)". From Rfam's summary of the family: This RNA was originally discovered in E. coli during a large scale screen and was named SraF. The family was later found to exist upstream of related families of protein genes in many bacteria, including the the yybP and ykoK genes in B. subtilis. The record is from RNAcentral. Lineage: Bacteria; Pseudomonadati; Pseudomonadota; Gammaproteobacteria; Alteromonadales; Shewanellaceae.
GCCUCGUAUUUAGGGGAGUAGCUAACCAAGGCCAGAUUUUCAAUUGCCUUGGGGUGAGUAUCAACAUACUUGGCCACAGGCCAUGGUGCUCACAGUGGUUUCUGAGUUAAUGCUUAAUUAAUAAGACUCAGCGGAAAACCACCCAGCAAGACCUAAGCACGGCGA